RNAcentral lists this microRNA precursor (100 nucleotides) under Schmidtea mediterranea. Its description in RNAcentral is "microRNA sme-mir-2172 precursor". Lineage: Eukaryota; Metazoa; Platyhelminthes; Tricladida; Dugesiidae. The record is from miRBase by way of RNAcentral.
AAUAAUUUUCCAUUGAUUUGGAAAUAAUGACUAUGCAUGGGACAUUAGUAGAGCUUGUACAUGUAUAGUAUUAUUUGCCUGUCAUUGGAUUUAUCAGCGA